This 1429-nucleotide ribosomal RNA is filed under the name metagenome. Its description in RNAcentral is "bacterial SSU rRNA". It matches the Rfam family "Archaeal small subunit ribosomal RNA". The record is from RNAcentral.
UCUGACUGAUCCCGUCAGAGAUCAUUGCUAUCCGAAUUCGACUAAGACAUGCGAACCGAGAGGUGAAAGACCUCGGUGAACUGCUCCGUAAUGUAUAGUCAACCUACCCUUAGGAAGAGGAUAAUCUCGGGAAACUGAGGCUAAUAAACUAUAAUUAUCAACUUCUGGAAUGAUUUGAUAAUCAAAGGUGCAAACCGCCUAAGGAUGGGACUGUAUAGUAUCAGGCUGUUGUUGGUGUAAAGAACCAACAAACCGAUAACGCUUACGGGCUAUGAAAGUAGGAGCCUGGAGAUGGACUCUGAGACAUGAGUCCAGGUUCUACGGAACGCAGCAGUUACGAAAACUUUUCAAUGCUUUAACGAGCGAAAGGGGAAUUUGGAGUGUUCUUGCAUUGCAAGAACUUUUGCUCUCUGAAAAUAGGAGAGCGAAUAAGGGCUGGGUAACACGGGUGCCAGCCGCCGCGGUAAUACCCGGGGCCCGAGUGAUGGUCACGAUUAUUUGGCUUAAAGCAUUCGUAGGCGGUUUGGUAAGUUUCUUGUGAAAUCCUCUAGUAAACUAGAGGGCUUGCAAGAAAAACUACCAGACUUGAGACUGGGAGAGGGCAGUGAUACUUCUUGUGUAGGGGUUAAAUCCUUUAAUCCAAGAAGGAUCACCUGUGGCGAAAGCGACUGCCUAGAACAGGUCUGACGCUGAGGGAUGAAAGCUAGGGGAGCGAUCGGGAUUAGAUACCCCGGUAGUCCUAGCCGUAAACGAUGUCCACUUGGUGUUGUAAGCUUCUUGGGAGCUUACGGUGCCGGAGCGCAAGUGUUAAGUGGACCGCCUGGGGAGUACACUCGCAAGGGUGAAACUUAAGGGAAUUGGCGGGGGAGCACACAAGGGGUGGAGGCUGCGGUUCAAUUGGAUUCAACGCCGGAAAUCUUACCAGGAACGACAGCAGUAUGAGGGUCAGUCUGAAGGGCUUACCAGACAAGCUGAGAGGUGCUGCAUGGCCAUCGUCAGCUCGUACCGUGAGGCGUGCCGUUAAGUCGGUUAACGAGCGAGACCCAUAUCACAUGUUGCUAAUCUCUUAUCAAAGAGAUGCACUCAUGUGAGACCGCUGGUGAUAAACCAGAGGAAGGAAUGGGCGACGGUAGGUCAGUAUGGCCCAAAUUUCCUGGGCUACACGCGGCCUACAAUGCGUACCACAAUGAGAUGCAAUCGCGAAAGCGAAAGCGAAUCCCCUAAAAGUACGCCUAGUUCGAAUUGAGGUUUGUAAUUCUACCUCAUGAAGCCGGAAUCCCUAGUAAGCGAACGUCACUAUCGUUCGCUGAAUGUGUCCCUGCUCCUUGCACACACCGCCCGUCAAGCCAAUUGAGUAGAACUUCAUCGAGGCUUGUGAUGAGCAUGUCGAGUUGAAGUUCUGCAAGAGGGGCUAAGUCGCCACAAGGUA